GAAAGAAAAGAAGGGGGGAGAGAGGGGAAAAAAUCAUCCCCAAGUAUAACAAGAGACGAACAGUUAGUGCCGAUUUUCAUUUGCAUAAAUUUUCAUAUAUUUUAGUGAAAAUAAUAGCGGGAGCUGAGGAGUGCUCCUGCUCAGUUGAGGCAGAGGAAAGAAAAUCUUAGGGAGCACCGAGUCGUGUAGGAAAAACGGGAGAUAACCGGUCAGAGGACACGAAGUCCAGAUAUUUCCUCCUUUUCUUGGACUCGAGGAGCUCCUGACUUCAUCCACAAACACAAACUUCAUUCACCCACUGACACCCCUCCUUUCCCUCGGAGGAGAACCUCUGGAGAGCCAAACGCCAACGGAACAAAGUAAGACGUGAAUGUGAUUCACUGAGAAACAAUUCUACAAAUGUGAGACAACAUUCCCAUUUCAUUACAUAUUUAAAGGGAUUUUCAGCCAUUUUUGAUGUGCACAUCGAUGUGAAAGCUGCAAACAAUUAUUAUCCUGCUUGUAAAUAGCUGCCUGAAUGGUCUCUGCUCGAAGGAUUGAUAAGCUAACAGCUAGUCUGAGGAACUCUAAGACCAUCAAAAUGCCAUUUAUUGCAGGGCAAAUCACACAUUAUUUUAUUGUCCGAGUAUUUACAAGUGUAAAUUAUCACCAUCAUCAGCAAAAUGUAGCAGUAAAUCCAGGGGUCAGGCCCAGCAGGAUGUUUUAAGUAUUCCCGCCAAAAUAACAGUAGAAAUUUAAAUUGAUGGUAGUGCAAAGAUUUAUGCAUGAACAGCAGUGAAACUUUGGGAAUCUAAUUUUUUCUAACACAGCAAAGAUUUUCCAUUAAAACAGAACUCUGGAUUUUUUUGUCAGAGGACACCAUCUAGAGGUAGGAAAAUGUAUUGCAUAUUAAGCCCUUCUCCCUUUACGCCCGUGAUUACGACUGAAAACAUUCAUGAACACUUGCCUCUAUAGCCAUGCAACAAAGCUAAGACUCAUAGUUUUAAAAUUAUUUCUCUUACGGUAUGCUGUACAUUCAUAUAUAUAUAUAUAUAUAUAUAUAUAUAUAUAUAUAUAUAUAUAUUAGGGCCGGGACUUUAACACAAUAAAUAUGAUUAAUUAAUUAGAAAAAAAUGACCCGUAAAAAAAAAUUAACGAAUUUAAUCACAACUUGCAUUUUGAGCACGGCGGAACCUUUGUCAUUGCACGAUUUCCUCGUAGAUUGAACAUCACUGACGCACACAACAAUGCACAGUGCUAAUGGCUACUAAACGGAAUAAAAACAGAAAGAAGUUGCCUUGCUUGGACUGAUGCAAGAUUUAGGAAACACGUCCCUCUUUUUUCUUAACUUGGAAAAAAAAAAACUUCCAGACAACAACGGAGUCCGUAUCGCGGACAUUUUUCAGAGAUCGUCUCUGCUGCAGCUGCCUGAUGGCACCAGAAACUUUACAAAAGUUGCAGUAAGCUAUAUUUUAAACAUUUACGUAACAUCUGUGCAGCGCUGAAAGCACCAGACAGAAUAAUUCUUUGCCCUAACAGUAGUUUAUGAAAGUACUCAGACAAACGAGAGGCACCUGGCUGCAGCUGGGAGAACGCUCCGUGUUCUCACUACUCUGUAAACAAUCACAGACAACAUGUCUUAUAGUUGAAAACAGAAGUUUAAGUUAAAAUAUAAACACUCUAAAAAUGUGAUUGAUUUAGAUUAAUUAAUCACAAAGCCUCUAAUUAAUUAGAUUAAAUUUUUUAAUCGAGUCACGGCCCUAAUGUAUGUGUUAACUCAUUCACUGUCAGCCGUUUCCUGAUCAGUAAAGCCAUUCGCUGCCAGCGUUUUCCAGUGCUUUUACUGUUUUUUUAAGAGUCACAGAACGUUGAGCGCUAGGAUGAUGUUAACGCAAAAACUAACAAAACAAAGAGAAGAAUCCGUGUGUUUCGAGCGUUAUCCAUUCUUCCAUAAUCCGUUGUCGAAUUGUGAUCGGCAGAAGCUUUUUCCAGUUUGCACCUCACUUUUUUAACAGCAGCGGCCCAAAAUUAUCUUCUAACGUGACAUGGAUGAAGAUCAGCUUUAGAGCUGGGAUGUUUAUUCUCACGGUGCGGGGCUCGUUCCGACACCCACACAGUAAAAAAAAAAAAAACACAAACACAGUGAAGAAGUUAAAGACUUACUUGCUCUAGGUACAUCCUCAAACGCUUGUGCACGCUCCAUGAUUGACAUCUGUACAUAAGCGGAUCUCUAACGCUAUUGGCUAAUGCUGAGCAGUGCUCAAAUCAAAUUGCAAGGGGCUCUUUGGGACGGGGGCAGGCUUAGCAAAAAAUAAUUUAUGUAUUGCCUACAUUAUAUCAUACUACAAGCUAGCCAGAGAAGGUGAGAGAAGAAAGAUGGGUUGAGAGAGAGAGAAGUAAAAGAAGCAAUCUAUGUGAAAUGGGAAAGACCUACAUUAAACAGAGGAGGAGGCCUGAGGUUUCCAGCACCUAAAAUGCAGCUCUAAAUCUAAUUUCAAAACUGUUUCAGUCUAGGUCACACCCUUCUGCAUUUUAACAACCAUUAUAACACAAUAGGUCAUAAUGACAUCAACGACUCAUCAGAGGUUUGAGAGGAGGGGUAUUCAUAGUUAGUUUCAGCUCUUUAAGCAACAAUAGACAGUUACAGAUUAUAAGCUCCACUUUCCCAUAUUCCAGUCAAAAUUGACAAAGCUCCUCAGAUAAGAAGCGAAACAUCUUCAAGAAACCAAAGAAGUCCAGUUACCUUCAUUUGAACCCUUUGGAUUACUUGCGAAGACCAUCAUGUUUAUUGAUUUCUAAAACCCGGAAAGCGCAUUUAAUUGAUUCUGUGUAUGAAAUCUGCUAUAUAAAUAAAGUUGCCUUGUCUUGCCAAAAAAAAAAAAAUCAUACAAAUAGGAAAAAUGAUUGCUGCUUUAAUUUAGGACCCAUCAUCAACAAAGGUAAAUACGACUAUCAUCGGCAAAAGGGAUCCAGGAAUCAUGCCCGGCAGGAGUUCAAAUGAUCGAUUUCUACCAAAAAAACUACACCCUACAGUUUUAAGAUGGCGGCAAUUGAGUUUUUAAGAAACCCACUUCCAAAAACCAUUGCUGCCGUUUGAAUGUAAGCUCCACAGUCGUUCAUAGAAUACCUUUUAAUAAACUUUUCUGUCGCUUUUGGUUUAGCAUGCAGUUAUUUUAGCAAUGACAUUAAGACAUUCCUGUCAGACUCGACCAGCUGUGUCAAAGCUGGUUAAACAUUCAACUUCCAAUGAACCUUUGUAGACUGGUGCCAUUUAUGAAAACAAGCAUUUCACUAGCUGUUAGCUCAUCAGUCACACAUCAUUAUCUGAAUGGGGUCAUUAAAAGAAGCUAUCUACAGUGGGUAAAAUCAUAAAAUUCCUUUACAGCUGUUUUAUUGUUGUUCAGAGGCAAGAGCUUGAAUUUUGUACCGUGUUUUAAAAAAUAUGCAAUAAAUACAGAUCAUCAGAAGCUAA
Molecule: long non-coding RNA, 3451 nt
Organism: Nothobranchius furzeri (turquoise killifish)
Lineage: Eukaryota; Metazoa; Chordata; Actinopteri; Cyprinodontiformes; Nothobranchiidae
Source: RefSeq, a predicted model, not a curated record